UACAGAGGUCUCAAGCGUUGUUCGGAUUCAUUGGGCGUAAAGGGUGCGUAGGUGGCAUGGUAAGUUGAAGGUGAAAUCUCGGAGCUCAACUCCGAAACUGCCUUCAAUACUGCUGUGCUUGAGAGCUGUAGAGGAGAAUGGGAUUCACGGUGUAGCAGUGAAAUGCGGAGAGAUCGUGAGGAAGACCAGUGGCGAAGGCGAUUCUCUGGGCAGUUUCGGACACUGAGGCACGAAGGCUAGGGGAGCAAACGGG
RNAcentral lists this ribosomal RNA (253 nucleotides) under uncultured bacterium. Its description in RNAcentral is "partial 16S ribosomal RNA". It matches the Rfam family "Bacterial small subunit ribosomal RNA", at positions 524 to 776 of the family's 1533-position model. The record is from RNAcentral.